GCCAGUUUGGCCUAAUGGUUAAGGCACCAGGUUAGAAAGCGGGAAACGGUGAGUUAUAGUCCCACCUUAGGCA
Molecule: transfer RNA, 73 nt
Filed under: Ophiophagus hannah (king cobra)
Lineage: Eukaryota; Metazoa; Chordata; Lepidosauria; Squamata; Elapidae
Rfam family: tRNA
About the family: Transfer RNA (tRNA) molecules are approximately 80 nucleotides in length. Their secondary structure includes four short double-helical elements and three loops (D, anti-codon, and T loops). Further hydrogen bonds mediate the characteristic L-shaped molecular structure. tRNAs have two regions of fundamental functional importance: the anti-codon, which is responsible for specific mRNA codon recognition, and the 3' end, to which the tRNAs corresponding amino acid is attached (by aminoacyl-tRNA synthetases). tRNAs cope with the degeneracy of the genetic code in two manners: having more than one tRNA (with a specific anti-codon) for a particular amino acid; and 'wobble' base-pairing, i.e. permitting non-standard base-pairing at the 3rd anti-codon position.
Source: Rfam by way of RNAcentral